Molecule: transfer RNA, 71 nt
Filed under: Dipodomys ordii (Ord's kangaroo rat)
Lineage: Eukaryota; Metazoa; Chordata; Mammalia; Rodentia; Heteromyidae
Rfam family: tRNA
About the family: Transfer RNA (tRNA) molecules are approximately 80 nucleotides in length. Their secondary structure includes four short double-helical elements and three loops (D, anti-codon, and T loops).
Source: Rfam by way of RNAcentral
GGGUAUGUAACUCAGCUGUAGAGGGACUGCCUCCUAAGCAGGAAGCCCUGGGUUUCAUCCCAGCACACACA